This 75-nucleotide microRNA precursor is filed under the name Myotis brandtii (Brandt's bat). RNAcentral's name for it is "mir-9229 microRNA precursor family". It matches the Rfam family "mir-9229 microRNA precursor family". Lineage: Eukaryota; Metazoa; Chordata; Mammalia; Chiroptera; Vespertilionidae. The record is from Rfam by way of RNAcentral.
GAGACACCCCUAUGGAGCAGGACUUGCUUCAGUGGGGCUUUGGUUCUCACUGAGUCUGCCUUUGAGUGUGUCGCU